This 394-nucleotide ribosomal RNA is filed under the name uncultured bacterium. Its description in RNAcentral is "partial 16S ribosomal RNA". It matches the Rfam family "Bacterial small subunit ribosomal RNA", at positions 523 to 918 of the family's 1533-position model. The record is from RNAcentral.
AUACGGAGGAUGCAAGCGUUAUCCGGAUUUAUUGGGUUUAAAGGGUGCGUAGGCGGAUGAUUAAGCGUGAGGUGAAAUGCAACUGCUCAACAGUGGAACUGCCUCGCGAACUGGUUGUCUUGACUGCUCCUGCCGUGGGAGGAAUGUGUGGUGUAGCGGUGAAAUGCAUAGAGAUCACACAGAACACCGAUUGCGAAGGCAUCUCACGAAGGGGUGAUUGACGCUGAGGCACGAAAGCGUGGGGAUCAAACAGGAUUAGAUACCCUGGUAGUCCACGCAGUAAACGAUGAUAACUAACCGCUGGGUCGUAGUGAUUCAGUGGCCAAGCGAAAGCGAUAAGUUAUCCACCUGGGGAGUACGUUCGCAAGGUUAAAACUCAAAUGAAUUGACGGGG